CAGGUAUGUAUGUAUAUGUGUAUAUAUGUGUGUAUAUACACACACAUGCAUACACGUACAUACCUGUAUAUGCAUAUAUAUAUGUGUGUAUAUAUAUAAUAGAAGGUAUGUCUCAUGCAAUAUUUGGGAUAUACUUGUAUUGAAAAAUUACUUGUUUAUUGAAGAAUCAAAUUUAACUGGGCCCUGUAUUUUUAUUUGCUAAUUUGGCAACUUAGGGGUUCUGGUUAAAAAACAUUUCUUACAUUGCAUAGAUAAUAAACAGCCUAAAGAAGUUUGGGAAUGGUUACACAGGGGCCCUUCAUGCUUCCAUGUCAGUGCCUAAGUACUUAACCCGAUGUGGUAGUUGUGAGCAUCUGUUCUUUCAUUAAGCACAUUUGCAGUACAGAACCCAGUAUGUAAUUUGUAAAAGCACAAAUUAAGCCUAUCUUCCUCUCUCUCCAGAGAGAAGUUCUCUCUUAGGAAAAAAAAAAAAAAUUACCUGCAGUAGUGAGUUUUCAUGGCGAAUAUCUUCUGGAAUGCCAUUGGCAUGCACUGAUUCUUCUUGAGGAUCCUCUCUCCCAACCAGCAGAACCAGGUUGUAAAAUCUGGAGAAACUGCUUGAAAGGACUAGGCUUCUCUUUAUAGGCCCCAGAAGGGAGGACAGAGGCACUUCCCAAGACCCUUUAUUGUCCUUUGCCUCCAGUACCCAAGUGUUUGUGUGGCUCCUGCUGGUGUUUUGCUGAGCCUGUCUGGAAGGGCAAAUUGCUUUUGGAUGCAUUUCUACUUAAUAUAUUCAUCAUCACAUUUUGUUUGUUCAUUUUCUAUAAAAAGAAAAGAUAAAAGAUCUCCACUGGGCUGACCUUAAUUUUAAUUUUUCAAAGUGAUGACAUUACAAAAAUCAUCUAUAACAUGAUGUCAUACUCGUCUCCUGACAUCUGUUAUGUUGGGGAAGUCUUGCAAACACAGCUAAUCAGGAUUGUCUAUUUUUAAGUCUUCAGAUGCUGGAUCUGGCACUAAAUACUGGUUCUUUACAAGUGUGUACAGGUAUGGGGUAAAUUGUGUAAAUCAAUUACUAAAAACAUUCACUACUUCAGAGCACUACUUAUAAAAUCUGGCCAAGUGCCAGGUGGUUGUCACACACAUCAGAAGAUUGAUUAUCUACCUAACUAUUCUUUUUGGUUUCUUUUACCAUAAUGAGUUACACACACCAUCCAUGUCUAUUCCUUAUACUGUUACCUUACAUUGUUUUCUCACAUUUACAUCCAUAUGAUCACAUAUAAUCUUUUCUAAAUGCCCAGGACUAAUAUACCUGGAUUAGUGCUGAUGCCGAGAUCACCUGGUCGUGGCUGAGUGGGUCUAGAGAGAUCUGGCUUACUUUUCUGAGGUCACUUAUCAUACAUUGGCUCUUAAGAGUUUAAACCUACUGUGCUUUAAAGCUGUAGGUUUGCUCACUAUGAACCAAGGCAGAAGGAUGCUAAGUCUGUUAUUAUAUCAAUAAUGGGUCUGAUAUAGACUGAGGAUUCAUAUUAACUCCACAUGCCUCCAAAAAGGCAACCUAGAGUCAUGACUAAUACAUGGAAAUUGGUGCCUCCACCCGCAGCUGACCCUUUGGUCUCUUAAGAAAAGAAACUAGAACUUUUUAAGGUCUGAGAUCAAGAUCUUACUUUUUUUGUUUAGUAAGUAUUUAGCAAAUAUUUUUGAAAUAAUUUUCCAUGAGAAGCAUGAACAUGAGCUACAUGAUUGAGUAAGGAUGUAAUUGUAGCUUCCACUUGCCUCUCAACAUGGAAAUGCUAGAAGUUUUACUUACAGGGUUCAAAAACAUGUAUACAGUCAUCCCUCUGUAUCUGUGAAGGAUUGAUUCCAGGACCCUUCACGGAUACCAAAAUCUGCAGAUGCUCAAGUCUCUGACAUAAAAUGGCAUAGCAUUUGCAUAUAACUUAUGCAUAUUCUCCUAUAUACUUUAAAUUAUCUCUAGAUUACUUAUAUUACCUAAUACAAUGUAAAUAGUUCUUUUACUGUAUUGUUUAGGGAAUAACAACAAAAAAAAAUUCUGUACUUAUUCAAGGCAGACACAUUUUUUCCUCCUAAUAGCUUUGACCUGUGGUUGUUUGAAUCCACAGAUAUGGAACCCACGGAUAUGAAUAGCCGACUGCAUUAAGGUGCUACCUGGAGCAGUGUUUCUCAAACUUGAGUGUGCAUUAGAAUCCCUGGAGUUCUUACUAAAACAGAUUCCUGGGUCUGACCAACAGAGUUUCUCAUUCAGUAGGUUUGGUAAAGAGCCCAAGAACAUACAUUUCUAACAAGCUCCCAAGUGAUUCCAAUGCUGCACUGGUCUGAUCCACACAUCUCAGACCACUGACCUUCACACCUCUGGAGACACUAGGGCAUCUGGAGAUGGAUGAGAACAUUUUGGGUUAACCACAUGAAAUGGAACUUUAAAGUCUCUCCUCCAAUGAAAAAGUACAUGCUGUGGGCUCUGUCUGGCCUUCUUUUUCUUGGGAAUGGACACCAAAAAGUAAAGGCAGCCUUUCCUCUUGGAUAAGAGAUGAUCAUGUUCAAAUCACAGUGAGCAUUUACCAAUCACUUCUUAAAGGACAGAAAUACAAAAAUAAUCAAGACACUUACCCUGAGCUUGGUAAGCUCAAAGUGCAGGGUCUCAAAAGCUGUAAGGAGUAGGGAAGUUUACAAGCUAUGAACGAAGAGAUAGUCCUGCUGUUUUUGACCCUCUGGCCCCAGAACUCUGGACCCAACCAGCCUAGGUCUUUGAUACUCACCCAAGCUGUUCUGCCACAGUGGUCUUUGGUACUUCUGUGUCAUCCCUCCAGCCUCACCUAUCUUCUCCGAGUUGACCCCAUUGCCUCUGGCACUCUUACUAGUAAUAUUAAUGAUCAAUAUUGUCCUUCCCAUUUAUUGAGCUUCAUCUAUAUGACAGACCUUGUGUAUAUGCUUUAAUUUCACAGCAACUCAAAAAAAUUGGGUGAUUUUAUCUCGCUGAACAUAUUGGCAAACUGAGGCCCAGAGUGAUUAAAUGAUCUGGCCACAGCCAUGCAAUUGGGGUGGGUGCAGAGCUGGACUUUAAAGCUUGUUUUGCUACACAUCUGAGCCACUAAGUCACACACUCUUAGCACUUUUCCACAUAGCCAUUUUUUUUUGAGAUUAAGAUUUU
This 3145-nucleotide long non-coding RNA is filed under the name Homo sapiens (human). Its description in RNAcentral is "HSALNT0316074". Lineage: Eukaryota; Metazoa; Chordata; Mammalia; Primates; Hominidae. The record is from RNAcentral.